UGGAAAGCGUUAGAGACAAGCAAUUUUUAUAUUGCUAAUUAUAUUAUGUGCGAGUAUAMUUCCAAAACCUAAUUUUAAUAUUUUUAGAUGGAAGGAUAUAAACAAGUGAACAAAUAGGAGAGUUGCGAUGUGCUAAACGAAAUUUGCACAACUAUGCCGAUAUAUCAGUGCAAAUGGCACACAAAUUUACUACAAAAGAAGUUCAUGUAAAAACAAAGAAUCUCACAAAAAAAUAUAAAGAGGAAAAUAAAAAAUGUGGACCCUCGGGGGGCAGCCCAUCGGGAUGGAAACAUUUUGAUGCAGCCCAUCAAAUUAUCAGACUGACGGCAGCCAAUACUGUUGAAAUCUACGAAUCAUUUACUGUGAUAAGCUGAGUUUUACAUGUUUAAGAUCACCAGAACCAAUGUCAUCUGAAUUAUUGUCUACGCCAGUAAUG
Molecule: long non-coding RNA, 436 nt
Organism: Bactrocera latifrons
Lineage: Eukaryota; Metazoa; Arthropoda; Insecta; Diptera; Tephritidae
Exons: 3
Source: RefSeq, a predicted model, not a curated record